GAUGAACGCUGGCGGCGUGCUUAACACAUGCAAGUCGAGCGAUGAAGUUUCCUUCGGGAAACGGAUUAGCGGCGGACGGGUGAGUAACACGUGGGUACCCUGCCUCAUAGAGUGGAAUAGCCUUCCGAAAGGAAGAUUAAUACCGCAUAAUGUUGAAAGAUGGCAUCAUCAUUCAACCAAAGGAGCAAUCCGCUAUGAGAUGGACCCGCGGCGCAUUAGCUAGUUGGUGGGGUAACGGCCUACCAAGGCGACGAUGCGUAGCCGACCUGAGAGGGUGAUCGGCCACAUUGGGACUGAGACACGGCCCAGACUCCUACGGGAGGCAGCAGUGGGGAAUAUUGCACAAUGGGGGAAACCCUGAUGCAGCAACGCCGCGUGAGUGAUGAAGGUUUUCGGAUCGUAAAGCUCUGUCUUUGGGGAAGAUAAUGACGGUACCCAAGGAGGAAGCCACGGCUAACUACGUGCCAGCCGCCGCUGUAA
This 480-nucleotide ribosomal RNA is filed under the name uncultured bacterium. RNAcentral describes it as "partial 16S ribosomal RNA". It matches the Rfam family "Bacterial small subunit ribosomal RNA", at positions 28 to 523 of the family's 1533-position model. The record is from RNAcentral.